RNAcentral lists this ribosomal RNA (269 nucleotides) under Staphylococcus pseudintermedius. RNAcentral's name for it is "partial 16S ribosomal RNA". It matches the Rfam family "Bacterial small subunit ribosomal RNA", at positions 1 to 259 of the family's 1533-position model. Lineage: Bacteria; Bacillati; Bacillota; Bacilli; Caryophanales; Staphylococcaceae. The record is from RNAcentral.
UUUAUGGAGAGUUUGAUCCUGGCUCAGGAUGAACGCUGGCGGCGUGCCUAAUACAUGCAAGUCGAGCGAACAGAUAAGGAGCUUGCUCCUUUGACGUUAGCGGCGGACGGGUGAGUAACACGUGGGUAACCUACCUAUAAGACUGGAAUAACUCCGGGAAACCGGGGCUAAUGCCGGAUAACAUGUUGAACCGCAUGGUUCUACAGUGAAAGACGGUCUUGCUGUCACUUAUAGAUGGACCCGCGCCGUAUUAGCUAGUUGGUGGGGUA